GAAUUUUUAUUGUGUUCAUUCACUCAUCCCUACACAGCAAGAAGGUGGCUGGUAGAAGACAGGAAGAGAGCCCUCGUUGGAGCUGCCUGUGCCAGCCCCCGCCCGAGCCAGCACCCUGGUCUUUGACUUCCAGCUUCCAGAACCGUGAGACAAUGAUUUCUAUUGUUCAGUACCAAAAAUAUUUUAGUAACAGUUUUAACCUUUCCUUUCUGUGUUUCUUAAUCUUUUACCUUCCCAAGAUAAUUUUGAAAAGCAAAGCGUUUGCCAGACUCUUUCAGUUAAGGUUCAAGAUGUAUCUGUAUCUGAUAUAUUCACUCAAGACACGGAUGGAGAAGUGAGCAAUGUCAGGAAGAAGCAAUCUGUGUGAGAAGGAUUUUUUCUGACAACCACAGUGGUGGAAGAGUACUUUAGGAGCAGAAGUGCUGUCAUCCUGUCCUGUCAUUAUCCACUGCAGGAGUGGAGGGGAGCCACGGUGUUUUUCCUUGGUCUGCUCGGAUCAUGGAGCUGCUCCUGACUGUGAGGUUCUUUUUCUACUAAAAGCAACAACAACAUCAAAGAAAGACCUCUUCUCUUCUAAUAAACAUGGGGACUAUGGAUUGUCAACAGUUGGAAGCGUUCAUCUGUGAAUAACAGAGAUGCUAAAAUAUCAAGGACUUUAGCCACUUAGAAGUUGUUUCCCUUCUCUUGCAAAAAUUGGAGGUAGGAAGUUUGGUGGUUUGUGCCAUGAAAUCUUGUACCAUGAGAACUUUAAUCUUUUUUACUUCGUUCUGCAUAAACUACCAUUUCCAAGCUCACAUCAUGGUCCAAAGGGCUGUCCCAACUCCUGACAUCCUGCAUCCAAGUCAGAAAGAAGGAAGAAGCCACCAGGGGAACAAGUGGAAGGUACUGGGCGAAAUCCUCCUGUCUCUUAAGAAGGGUCCUAGACUCUGCUAUGUGGUUAUUUGGCAUCUUAUUGGACAGAACCCAAUUUCAUGGCCAGACAUGACUGUAAGGGAGGUUGGGACCACUAGCAUUUUUUGGGGGGGUGGGGAUAGGGGGCGGACCGUGUACCUAGGUACAAGGGAGAUGACCUCGGAAUCUUAUUUGACACCCUUCUCUGGCAGUUGAGUCUCUGGCUUUCUAGGGGGAGUGCUUCUGCUCUGUGAGUUCCAGGACACCUGGCUCUCAGGGAGGCUCAUCUCUGCCCAGUAUCCUGAUGACAGACAUUAGAGUUUCACCCUUUAAAGGGGCUUCACAGGUUUUAUAUAGUCCUGUGUCUGGGGUUUGGGGACCCUGAAUGUCUCAUGGCUUUGUAAAAGUAAGGGAGGCAUUUAUUAGGAGACACUUUGUGGUAUCUAUCAUAUAAAAGUACAUGAGUCAACAUCUUAUGAGAGAUUAAGGUCUAAAGACAGCUCUUAAGGAAAAGUCAUAGUCAAAAUUACUCUUUACACAGUCGUACGUCAUCCUCUACAACCUUGUAAAUGUGUAUCAGUUGGCUAUUAUCACAUAACUGGCCACCCCAAAAUUCAGUGGCAUAAAAUAACAAUCAUUUAUUCUCACACUUCUGCAAGUUGGCUGAUUGCGGCUGACUCAGCGAGGCUUGUGGGGCUUGGCUGUAAGCUGCAGGCUGGUCAAGUCCUGCUCUGCGUGUCACUCAUCUUCUUUAGAUUAGUGAGCUAGCCAGGACAUGUUCUGUCGGAUGGCAGAAGAACCACAGUGCGAAGUCAGCCGGGCAAGCACAUUUCAAGCCUCAGCUUGUGUUACAACUGCUCAGAUCCCAUUGAGCAAAGCAAGUCACAGCCAAGCCUAAUGUCAGGGGAUGAGGAAGUCACACUGUUCUGCACUGGGCUAAGAAGACAUGAGACCAAGCCCGAUGUCCCUCAAAAUUCACCCCCCCCUUGAGGGGAAAUACAGUAAGGACUUAGCGUCUUCACUUUUGUCUGCAAAUGUUUGAUAGGUGACUAAAUGCAGGCUUCAAGACUUGGCAUUUCUGCCUCCAUUUUGCAUCUGUCUCCUUUGCUCUGAGUCACCUUAAAUUCCAGGAACCACCGGGUUGAAUAAUAAACAUCUUGAGAUGAGUGGAAGCUACCUCCAGACAACAGCAACUUCCUUAUCCUGGGCAAAGCCCUGCCUGAACAAUCCUGAGUUAAUGAUGGACCAGGCCAAGCCAACCCAAGAUUACCUGUUUUGCAGCUAUGAAAGACUUCCGGCUUUGGAAGCCCCAAACCCUCACACUCGUUCCCCUGUCUAUCAAACCUCAAAGUCAUUGUCAAUUCCUGGAAGGAAGGGUUGAGGACUUGGGCCCUCUUGUCUUCCUAGUGUAGCCACACUGAUUAAAGUUCCUUUCAUAUUUUUUUUCACCAUUAAACUCUUAUGGAAGUAGCAUGAGAUGAGUAAAAUAUUUUUAUUAAACAAUUUAAUUUGCCACAGAAUUAUGUUUUUAAAAUGAGUUCUCGGGCUCACUUUGGCAGCACAUAUACUAAAGUUGGAACCAUACAGAGAAUAUUAGCAGGUCCCUAUGCAAGGAUGAUACACAAAUUGGAGAAGCGAUCCGUAUUUUUUCAGAGAGAACUAUAAUAAAAACCUAAAAGGUUAAAAAAAAUCAGUUUUCACGUAUUAAUCAAUUGUGACCCUCAAUUCUUUCAUUUUUAAUUUGAAUAUGUCGAGCAAUUCAUCACCAUGCAUUUGCCUGGUCAGCUGAUGAUUUUGCAUUUUACUUCUUUAUUAAGGGUUUGGAACUCAUAAAAUAAUUCAUAUUUCUGUAUGAAUAGACCAAAGUUCAUUGGUUAUUGCAGCAGGAUGGCAGGCAUGGCCUGGGUCAGAGGUUCUCCGGGUAGAUGGCAGGCAGAACCAUUCUUAUUCUUUAAAUCCUUCCUUCCACAAUUCAUAACACUGACUUUGUCUACCUACCAAGCCUCCCCAUUGCACUGAGGAAUGCGCUGAGCAGUCAGGUGUGCUGGACGGGCACAGGGGCUCUUAGGGGAUACUGUGGUAUGCAGCCCAGACCCCGCCUCCCCCAUCCAACUUCACGGCUGAAGCAUUUAUUCCCCCAGUGACUGGGAACUUUGGUUGCCAACAGCUUUCAGCUGAGUCUCUCUUGGGGCCUUGCCUUUGGCUGCAGAGAGCAGCCUGGUUCAAGUUCAUACCCCUUUCCUGGGACAGACUGCAUCCAAUGACUGUGAGGGACGGGGCGCCUCCUUGCCAUUCUGGGUCCAUGUGCCCCUGGCAUCAACUGAGGCCUCUGUUGAGGCUGCACUUUCAACCUUUCCCUCCCACAGACGACCUGGACAGCACUCUGCAAUACACUUCCCACAGCAAAUCUCCACCCUGGAGUCUGAUUUCUGGGGAGCUCCACCUGCAACAGUCUCCGAAGUCGGGCAGAACAGUUUGAGUCUUAUUUAGUCACUGACUAGCUGAGUUCCUUAGAUAUAAUAAGUCUACUAUAAGCCUUUGAGAGCCUCAGGUAUUUAAUAUCUAAAGAUGCAACAAUAAUGGUAAUCCGUCUCUUGCAGUUACUAUGAGAAUGAAGAUACAUCUAAAGCAUUUAGCACAUUUAGGUUCACUUGAAACCAGACUAAUAUGUCAUAGUCAUGUUUUAUUAAAAAUAAUAAUGUUAGUACAAUAACUUGGAGGUCCAGUGCAGAGGAGACUGGGGUAGGGGAUUUUGUUGAAAUUGAUUCUCUUCUUUUCUCUUUUUAGGGGCUUGGUGAAGAGGGGUACCAGAGAUUGAACCCAGGUGUGCUUAACCACUGAGCCACAUCCCAACCCUUUUUAAAUUUUUUAUUUUAAGACAGGGUCUCUCUAUGUUGCUGAGGCUGGCUUUGAGCUUGGGAUCCUCCUGCCUCAGCCUUCUACUUGCUGGGAUCUCUUCCUUUUGACUCAGUUCCUGGUCUGCAUUUUCAGAAGCCCUUAGGCUGGAGCUGCAGAAACGGACCUGUUAUUCUAACUUGUUUCCAGAAGGUGGCGCCAGUGGACAACACUGCAGUUCUGCCUCUGCUCAGUAACAAUUUUUGGUCAGUUUCAGGCGCAUUAACCAUUCGCCAAGCGCUGACUAUUCCAUCAUUUUACUCUUCCAUCCCUUCCUCAACAAAUACUUUACUAAGCACUUAACUCCAGCCACAGAGCAGCUUCAAAUCCCUUCUAAAAUGUGAUGGUGACCAAGGAACAAAAGUAGGGAGCAAACAAACAAACAAAAAAUUCCAAGUUCCUGCUGGGGAGCUGGACUUUUGAGAGAUGAAUAAGAGGUUUUAGCCACCGAUUUAUUCUGGUUCUGCAUUGGUGCCAGCUCACGCUCUCAAAAGCGAAAGGGGCUUAAUUUGAGUGAAACUGAGUCAGGAAGAAAAUGGUCUGUCUGCAGGAGCCGCUGAAGUGCAUCCCAGAGGCCACCCGCAGCCCUCUCCAGGGCUAUUGAUCUGAGAGCAGGCAACUGGUUCCUAGACUGGUUAAAAUUCCCGAGCAGGAGGAAGAAGAAGAAAAAAAUCCAUAAAAGGAAAUGGGAGAAGGUGUUGAAGGGCUGGGGGGGAGGGGUGAGCUGGCCUGAAUUAGGAGCUCCAGUCAGAGGUGACUUUGCAGGCCCUUGGGCAUCACACACAGGCCAGCAAGCAAACCUGGACAUCAGGAGACCAGGGCCUGGCAGUCUAUAUCUAUUACUAGGAUAGAGUGUCCCCCCUCAGCCUUCUUACACCCGCCCCAGAACUGUGGGGGAUGAGCCCACCUGAAGGUGACCUCAGCAAAGCAAUUUUAGGGGUGUCAAGAAGGGCUCCUUAGGCUGGAGAUAGAGCUCAGUGGGUAGAGUGCUUGCCUUGCAUGCACAAGGCCCUGGGUUCAAUCCUCAGCAGCACACACACAAAAAAAAAGGCGGGGGGGGGCUCCUUCUAUGAAUAAGAUCUCUUGACAAUCACUCUUUGGGACCCCAAAUUAGUGUCCUUUAAAAUACUUAUUAUGAAGCUGGGCAAGGUGGUGCAUGCCUGCAAUACUAGGAGCUUGCGAGGCUGAGGCAGGAGGAUUGCAAGUUCAAAGUCAGCCUCAGCCACUUAGUGAGGCCUUAUGCAACUUAGUGAGGCCUUGUCUCAAAAUAAAAAAUAAAAAGGGCUGGGGGGUGGCUCAGUGGUUGAAAGCCCUGGGUUCAAUCCUGGUAUUAAAAACAACGAUGCAUAUUACAUCAGUGAACGGAAAAUGACAUCAGAGUUAAAGGAGAUUUAAAAAAAAUUGUAAGAAGUAAGAGCAGAAUUUCUCUAUGGUGUGUGUGUGUGUGUGUGUGUGUGUGUGUGUGAUUGUAUUGGCUUGGAGAAAAGUCUUCAAAAACACACUCAGUUGUUAACUGGAUUAUUUGAGCCAGAAGGUGAGGAGUAUGUGAGGGAGGUUCGUGGAGGGUGGCAAAGGAUAAUGAAAGGGCCAAGGGGAAAAAAUCACAUUAGGAAAGGGCAUCUGUGAUUGAAAGAUGUUACUGUGUGUUUUGAUUUAUGUAAAUGUUGCUUCUGUUGCCCAUGUGCAUAGACAUGCAUGAAAGAUGCCCACGAAAUGUUAACCAACAGCACUCGUCAUAUGGUGAUGAGAUUUCAAAGGAUUUUUCUUUUUCCUUAUAACUCUAUAAAUUUUAAAUUCUUUCAUAGCAUUUAAAUCAGGGAAGUAGGGGAAGAAAAUAAAAUCUAGAAAAAUUUUGCAAACCAAAUGGGAAAAGCAAUAAGAAAGCUGAGCUAUCCACGUCUGAGGGCCUUCAAAUUCUAACUUCUCAUUCCCUAACUGUGUGACCCUGAGCAGAUUACCCAGCCUCUCUGAGCCUGAUUUGCCUCCUCUUUAGAAGUAGGAUGUAGGACAUACCUUUUGUUUUUGCCUGCCCGGUAUUUCCUUCUGAUUUCCUGUGGAGAACUGCUCCAUCCCUUUGCACGAGACCCCACCUUGAGUACCAUGUGGAUCUGUGACUGAGGCCUAGCCAAUUCAUUGAGUCCACUGCACAGAUGUCCAUAAUUUGACCUGGGUCAGCAGGAGUUAAGUCUAAGACUUUUCCUGAAACUAUAUGGUAAGAGCAGUGUCUUUCUCUGUGAGGGUUCAGAGCUGCUGCAUAUAUAAGCCUGGAGCUUCUGGUGGUCAUCUUGCCUAUAUGAGCAAGGAGUGUGGCUAAAAGUGGAGCCAGUACACAGGAGAGGAGAGAUGAGGAAAAUGGAGCAGCCCACUGACGUCACUUAAGGACCUAGAUCCAACUGUGCCUGAAGCUGGAGAACACUUCCAGGGGGAACAUAGCAUACUGGUUGAAAUGUAAAUGCUAGGAGACAGACUGGUCAGGUUGAAAUCCCAAGUUUGCCACAGCAAUCAAUAAACACAGAAACACAACUGAAAGAGUAGGGCAGAAAGGAAUUUGUUUAAAGGAUGUGGAAUAGACAGGCUGAGCAGUCAGAAAUGGUGUCCAGAGCUGGGCGUGGUGGUGCACACCUGUCUUCAGCAACUUAGUGAGGCCCUAAGCAACUUAGCAAGACUCUGUCUCAAAAAUAAAAAAAUAAAAAGGGGAUGUGUCUCAGUGGUUAGGUGCCCCUGGAUUCAACCCCUGGUACCAAAACAAACACACACACAAAAACAAAACAAAACAAAAUCCCAAAAAACUUAGAAAAAAAAGAAUGAAACGGUCCACAUUUCCAUGAACGCAGCUGAAUCGGCUUGGGAACAUUGCUGACCCCGAUUCCAGAUACGCAGUGCUGCCUGUCACCCCACUGCCACUGUUGUCACCGGAAGUUGGCGGUGCUGGCCCACCAAGCCUGCCAGAGAACAUUCCCCCGUUAGUUUUCAAUCCCAGCCCGAGGCAGAUGCGCCCGGUGGGCAGAGCUGAGUCACAUGCUCACGUCCUGGCUGCGGGAGGCUGGGGGCGAACCUGUGGGGCAUUGUCCUCCUCCCCUGUGGGCAUGGCUCUCCAGGAAGUCUCAGGAAGGAGAUCAUUCCCUUCAACGCAGGGAGUGGGUGCAGAAGCUGGGAAGUAAGAGAGAGAGAUGGCUUCGCUGAUGAUCACAGUAAAAUGGUGGAAAUCUCAGGACUCGAAUGUCCCCAGCAGCAAAAUGGAAAUUAUUAGUUCUUUCCUCAAAAUAUCAUCUAGAGGACUGAAGGAGUUCAUACAGGUAAAAUUCUUAGAACUACGUGGCUACCGAAUGGUUUAAUGAAUGCUAGAUCUGACUUUUCAGUUAGCGAAUUUUGCCUGGAGUCACUUAAAAAUCAGCUGCUGUGCUGUUUUGGUUUAUCCUGUAUGCCUUCGGAUGGACAGUCCUGCCUUCAGUGAGGACUGCCGAUACUCCAUGGGGUGGCUGUAAAGCUUGAACGCAUAAAUAACAUAAAGUUCCUGGCACGGGGACACCCUUGAUCAAUGAUAACUACUUAUUUCUAAUAUUAAUACCAAUACCACCAAUAAACAGGUCUUCACUAUCUUUUGUAAACGCUAAGAGCAAGGUUUGGUCAGAACUUGAAAUCACAUCCAGGGAGUGGUUUGAUGGAGGGCUACACUGAGGAUGAAAAAUGGGUACAAAGUUGGUAAAAAUUAAAAAAAAAAGUUUUGAGCUGCUGGAGAUCAAACCCCAGGCUUCACAUAGGCUGGGCAAGUGCUAUAUCUCUGAGCUAAGCCCAGUAGCACUUGUUGAGUGGACAUUUCUUCUCCUUUAUCUAUAGGAGAUGAAAGAUUUGUAAAGAGCUCAUUUUGCAGUAAGAAGAGUUGCGCUCAUUCUCCCAACAGGCCUGGUGCUGGCUGUGGAGCCACAGAGGUGAACAAGGUGCUCCAUACCUGUCUUCAGGUGUUCCCGGCCUGGGGGAGGGUGAAAGCUCAGGUGGAGUCUGGGAAUGUAAAGGAGGGAAAUACGCAGGUGUGAGGGAGGAGCAUGGGUAGAAGAAAUAUUCCACCUUCUUCUUUGAUCCACUCGAAGAAAAAUGAUACUGCAAGGGCGCUGGCAAAUGGCUCCCUCUGGCCUUCAAAAAGCACCGGAGGACUAUGGAUAAAUGGAGACGGAAUCCUCUAUCGGAAGGGGACUGCGGCUCUGAGGGAGGAGAAGUGGAUCCAGGUUACCUGGUUUCCGGUGUGUCAAGAGAAGCCAGAAAUCAUGAUUUCUUGAUUUUUAGUUGACAGUGAUGAAUGCAAAUAUUUCAAAAGACCGCAUGCGCCUAAAUGGUACAGGCCAAGAAAAGCACUAUUUGGUCCGAAUUCCAGACCUGAGGCUGAGGGUCCAGGACAUGACCUCCAGUCCACUAGGAGAGACAGGUAGGCAGGGGCGAUUUUGACACCUUGAUAAGUGCAGAGGCGGAAAGACGUGGUGGCUGCAGGGCAGGAGUCCUAGGGGAGGACUGAAGCAGGUCAGCAAGGGAGCAGCGGGUGGGGGGACCAGCCGGCAAAGCUCAGGUGGGUGAGAGGAAGGAGGAGCUGAGGCUGGGGAGAGGACAGGGCUGGACAGACAGUGGCCUGGGCCACAUUGUCAGUCUGUUCAAUGACUUCUUAAUUUUCCUGAUUAUAAUUUCUGCUGGUUUUGAUAGAAAAACAGAGUUGGUUUCUGUGCCCCCCCCCCCCCAAACAACCACUUCCUGUAAUAAAAAGGAGCCCUUUCAGAUAUCAAAGUCGGCCAAGCUCCUUCCGGCUCCCUCUCCCUCACCUGCACCCUCAGCUGGGUCACAUUCUCUCCCCCAGGAUAUCACAGAAAGCACAUGCUCCUGACCUCUGUCUGAACACCCUGGACUUGCCAGCACAGAGAGAAACCAUUUGCACAGGAGGGAACGUUUCAGUUCUUCCCGGCCCACUCUCUUUUCACUCUGUCCCGAGCCAAAAGCAGUUGAUGAUUCAGAGAGCGCAGGGGUGGCCAGCAGGGCCCUGGGCGGCAACCAGGAGCCAGUUCCAGUCCUGGUCUUGCAGAUGGAUUCCUCCUGUAGCCCAGGACCAGACUGGGCCACACAGGCUCAGCUGUGGCAUAAGCACUAGGUCAGAUGGUCUCUGAGAAUCUAAGGUCGCUGCCUCUCCAUCAGGACUCUCAGGGCCCAAAUCUGUCGCACACAGAGUGGACCUGACAUCGGCUUGGGUGUCGUCCAUCUAGCCAGCGUGUGCCUUGUGCCAGGCGCUCUGCCAGGCUCCCGCCAUAUGGGAGGGAGGUGGACAGUUCACCCACUUGGUGGACGAGGAAACUGAAGCUCAGGUAAUUGAAGUGAUGACCACUUGCCCAGAGUGGCCAGGCUUGCAGGUGGGACCUCAAAGGAUACAUUAGUUGAAACAAUGGUUAAACAUUUCACUAAAGUAGCACACAAACAUCAUAACAUAUAAAACAGCACAGAGGGGUUUACCAGGAAAAACCAACUCCCCGGAUUCCUCAAGUCACCUCCCUUAAUAAUUUUGAUUAUUUUUUUCUUUGAUAGGAACAAUAGUGCCAAUAGUGUGAAAGUCUGUGCCCCUCACGUUCAUAUGUUGAAAUCCCCCAAGGCCGUGGUGUUUAGGGGACGGGCCCUUUGGGAAGUGAUUGGGCCAUGAAAGUGGAGCCCUUGUUGUAGCAGGAAAUGAGGGUGAGGACACCCAGAUCUGGAAGCAACACUUUAUUGGAGGUGCCACAACCCAGAGGGAUAAUUCCCAAAAUCUGAGCCCCGAACACAGCAGAGCUUUUGCUUUUAUACAUAAGUGAGUUUUGGGCACAUCGAGGCAAGGGAGUUGGUGCAAUUCUAUUAAGGGGGUGCAUUCUACAUCCCUUACGUGGGUGCAAGCUUGUCAAGAGCCUAGGGACUCUUAGCUCAUACAGCUUAGGGGCUAAGCCUAAAGGGGAUUGUUCUGUCCCUGGCUUUGUCUCCUUCUUCUGCUACUGUGGUCAUCUCCUAUGGUACCUGUGAGUCGCCGUAAGCCUCUAGGGUUAAAUGUCAACCAGCAGAGCUGCUGUGUGUCGGCAUGCAAAAACACAGCCUGUCAGCUCUUAAACCGCUAAAGUUCCCAUUUUGCGCUAACCCAUUGUGAGUGGGAUCAGGCCCUUCAGGGCCUUCAGAGAUCAGGGGCUCUUGCCCUUGAUCGCCUUGCCCUUCCACCACGUGAGGAUACAGGCAAAGGUGGCAUCUAUGUACUAGAAAGUGGGCCUUCACCAGACACCAGCUCUGCUGGCACCCUGAUCUGGGACUUUCCGUCUCCAGAACUGUAAGAAACACAUUUCUGUUGUUUAUACCCAGCUUGUGGUAUUUUGUUACAGCAGCCUGAACAGACUAAGACAAACAGCUGGGCACUCUGACUACCUGCUGUGACAUUUACUUACACUCUUUGCUUCCUCCAUCUCCAACUGUUUAGUAUUUACAUACUUAUUUGUUGUUCCCUUGAUCUCAUAAAUUCAGUAAACAUAAACUCUAAUUUCUUAUGCUACUGCAUGGGCAAUGUCUGCGGACAUCUCAUUUUCUAAGAUGUGGGUAUGCAUAGUGUUACUUUUCUCUCCAUCUUUUCUACCCUCUUCUAUUCUCUACCUUUCAACAGCCUCACUUAUAUAUUUUUUAAUUGUCAUUUUUUUUAAGAAUGUGGUAAAUAUUUCAAUGCUUCCCUCCUGUUUAAUUUUCCUCUCCUUUUGGAUGAAUGGAGGAUUGCAUUUCCCUACCUUUUUAAACUGAGGAUAGCCAUGUGUCUAAUUCUGGCCAAUGGACAUGGAGGAAGGGAUCUGUGUGACUUCUGGGCUGUAGCAUUUAAUGGCAGGUGUGAGCCCCAUACACUCAUACAGUACCUGCAAGCAUCGCAUAUGGUGGCACCUCUGUCAGCCUGGGUCCCAGAACAGCAGAGCCCCCACCAAUGUUCCUCAACAUGUAGUAAGUGGGAGACGUACAUCUUUGUGGUCUGAAGACUCUGAGAGUUUGAGUUACUUAUCACGGCAGCCAAUUAUAUUCUGAUGGAUGCAUUUCCCAUUAUACGCUGUCCUGCAACUACAACUAAUACUUUCAUGUGUUAUCCUUACUUUAAAAUAAAAUCAACAGAUUAUUUUAAAAGACAUCCUUCCUCUGUCCUGGGAACUCUGCAAAUGUCUUUAUUUUACCUUCACCCUUAUAUUUGUCUGGGAAUAGAAUUGUAGGAUAAAAAUCUCUUUCAGAGCUUUCAAAAUAGUGCACUAAUGGUGUCUGACUUUUGACUUCUGAUGAGAAACCUGAUGCUGAUCUGAUUCUUUUUCCUUUAUAAAUGAAUCUUUUUUAAAUCUAUGGAAAAUGACAUCAAAGUCUCCUAACUCGUUUUCUUUUGUUUUAUCUCUUUGUUUUUUUCCACUUUCUUUUUGUUCUGUAUUGGGAGGACUUUUUUCAACUUUUCAGCCAUUUCUUAAAGUUUGCAUUUUAGCAGUAUCUCUUAUUUGGAGAAUUUUAAUGCAUAUUCUAUGUAAAGUAUAGUAGAGAGAAAUGCAUAGGUCACAAGCACACAAAGGGGUGAAUUAUCGCAAAGUGAACACACACAGAUCACCUCCCGCCAAGUGAAGAAGUCCUUUACUAUCAGGAUCCAGUCGCCCUGGGCUCCCUUCUGUUCACUUCCCAUCCUUUCUCCCAAAGGUUACUCUUAUUCUGUUCGAACACUGCCAAUUAGCUCCACGUUUCUUUAAAACUUGGCAUAAAUGGAAUCCUAGAGCAAGUCAUGUAUGCUCUUGAGGGCCCAGUUUCUUCAGCUGACGAUUGGCAGUAAAAAUAUAACAGAGUUCAUGGCAGAUUGUAGGUGCUCAGUGCAUGUUUGUUAAAUCUGUUCAGCUCAUAGUACCUUCAAACAGCUUUCAUCAUUUUUCUUAACCUUUGGUGGAUUGAUGGCAUAAAAAUGGGCACUAGAGUACUUAACCAGAGAACCUAUAAUUGUAGGAACUGAUGUGGGGCAGACUGGAAGGUGGAAAGUCGUGAAGUAGGAGGGGACACAUUCGUUGUCUUAGUUCAAGUGGCAGUGACAAAAUUCUGUGUUUUUUUGUGGCUUAACAGCUUUUCACAGUUCUGAAGGCUGAAGUCUAAGAUUAGGGGCCAGGAUGGUUGCUUCUUGCCAUCUUUUGUCUGCUUCCUCACAGAGCAAGGAGAGAAAAAGAAUCUGUCGUCUGCCUCUUCCUACAAGGGCAUCAAUCCCAUCACGAGGGCUCCAUUCUUGUAAUUUAAUUACCUCUAGAGGUCCCGUCUCCAUCACACUGGGACUUGGGGCUUCCAGAGAUGAAUUUGGAGGGGGGCAGAAUUCAACCCGUAGCACCAGACACUGUGUAAGUUUUGUGCUGUGGGGUGCUGGAUUCUGUUGUGUUCUUUUACACAGCAUUGGCUUGGUUGGGUACAUAGUUAAAUUACUUGGGAUCAUCUGGGCCUGCUUCAGGAUUUCUUUUAAGUUUUUUAAAGGCAGAUUCAGAAUAGCCUUUAAUCUAAGCCUAAUUUAGCUUCAUUACUAAGGCAAGACCCCUUACGGGGACUUUCCUUGAUGCCUACUGUACUAAGAAGGGUUUCCAUUUUGCCCUGAUGGAAUCGUAGACUUUCCUUGAUCCUGAAUGAGCUCUAGAAUUUUCUAGCCUAUUCCUUCCCAGAAGUCUCCCCCUUGGCCUUGAGUGGUUUGUUUGUUUGUUUUUCUCAGGUUGUGCAGAUCAUGACUCAGCCACAGACUCCCCAGGACCCCUAGGAGGUCUUUGAAGUUGAGAACUCCCAACCCUCCCCUCCAGUACUCCUUUGGUAAAUUUCAGCCACCCUGGCUUCCCUGGGCUCUGUUUGGGUUUCCCUUUCCUGAGCUACAUCCUGAAAAUCGUCUCCAUGCACUAAGGGGUCAUCAUAAGGCUUAUAUUGCUGUUUCCUUUCUCUCAAGGACCAUAAUUCUGCAUUGCCUAUUGUCCAAUACAGUCCCGUGAGGCUUAAUGACAGGAACAGGUUCUGAGGAUGUAUCAUUUGGCAAUUUUGUUGUGACAACAUCAUAGAAUACACUUAAGCACAACUAAGAUGGCUACAACGUCACUAGGUGACAUAAUCUCAUGGGACCGCUGUUGUAUAUGUGGCCCAUUGUUAGCUGAAACCUUCUGCAGCCUAUGAUUGCACUUGAAAAUCCUUAUUUUAUAUAAUUUCGCCUAUUUUCCUAAUUGUCUAAGAAAGGUUAAAUCCAGCCUCUAUUAGUCUGACGUGACUGGAAGAAAAAGUCUUUGCCCAACACUUUGAAAAAAGAAUUACCCAUAUGGAAAAUCUGAAAGCCUGGAAACCACCGUUCUGGACGUAACUUUCUUUAAAACGGCACCAAAACCAAUUUAUAAUGGGUGAUCUGACCAAUCCAGAUCAAAACUGUCGAAUUUAUCCUCAAAACUGGAGUAAAGAUGGGGCCGGGGCCGGGAGGAGAAAGAGGAGAAAUGAGAUACAAGAGACUUUGUUCUUGCUGUGGUUAGAGUGGAUGUGUCCCCUCAAAGUCCAUGUUGGGACCUAGGACCCAACAUGGCAGAACUAAGAGGCUGGCCCUUUUAGGAGGGUUAAGCACAGCCCCUGGGAAUGGGAUUAGUACAUUGAAAAAAGGGCCUGAGGAAACUUCCAUUUCUUAUGCUAAAUGGGGACACAGUGUUUAUCCUUUUGGUCACCUCACCACCAGCCUCAGCAAGAAGGUGCCAUCUGGAAACAGAGCAGCCCUCACCAGACACCAAAUCUGUUAGCACCUUGAUCUUGAACUCCUCAUCUCCAGAACUGUGAGAAAAUAAAUAUUUCUGUUCUUUAAAAAUUGCCUUGUCUUGGGCAUUUUGUUACAGCAGUGCAAAGGAACUAAGACAUUCCCCAACAAGAAAUGCAUCCACCCUGACUUGGAGGCAGCACACUGUUGAGGGCACAGGUUCAGGAGCUGACUGCCUGGGUUUGAGUCCCAGCCCUGCCACUUACAAGCUCACCUUGAGCUGGCUGCUUAAUUGCUCUGUGCCUCAGUUUCCUCAUCUGUAGGCUGAGUUAGUGACAAUAUUCUCAUCUACCUUAUAGAGUUGGUUGUUAAUGAAGGUGAAAUAAAUUAAUGUUCCUAAAAUACUAAGGAUGGUCAAUGAUACAUUGUAUUUUGUAAGUGUCUGAACUCGUUUUUCUUAUUAAAGAAGUAAUGCACAGGGCUGGGGUUGUGGGCUCAGCAGCAGAGCACUCACUUAGCAUGUGCGAGGCCCUGGGUUCAAUCCUCAGCACCACAUAAAAUAAAUAAAUAAAAUAAAGGUAAUGUGUCCAACUACAACUAAAAGAUAUAUAUAUAUAUAUAUAUAUAUAUAUAUAUUUUUUUUUUUUUUUUUUUUUAAAGAAGUAAUGCACAUUUACUGUAGAUAGAGACGUUCACCAGGGUAGAGGGGUGAGGCCUGCUAGGGCCGCCUGAUUGUUUCCCAGGACACCUUUCAGGUUGGACUUCCUUACUACAGUGUACUUCCUCAAGCCCAGCUCUAGUCCUGCAGGCAUGGGAGAAACAAAGCUUGCAGAUCUGGUUGGGUCAGAUCUACCAAAGACAGCUUACACCUUGAAGUACCAACCACUGUGAGGUCCCCGCAUGACUGUGUAUUCAGAAAUGCUCUCAGCCCAGAGGAAAAUUUGCACAUUAUUGGACAAAAAUAACAACACAAAACUGGUUAGUCUCUGCUUUUUUACAACUUAAAUGAAAAAUUUUCUUUAACAAACAUAUUUUAUAAUUUAAACUGUUACAAGUCUUAUGCUUUAAAGAUGACAUAUACAUAUGUAUAAAACCUGUGUAGUCUCAUAGUUAUAUCUCUUAGAAAGCCAAAUGUCUUCUCAUUACAUGUUAUUAAACAUGGGGAAGGCAUCACUAGUUAUAAUAAUCAGGAAAAAAAUAUGCAUUUUUUUGUUUCUUAUUUUUGAAAAGUUAUCAUCAAAUACACAUAGAUUUUAACCGUCUUCGCUGAUCUUAUUUUUUUAUUUCUUAGAUUCAUUUAUUUAUUUUGGUAUUGGGGAUUAAACCCAGGAGCACUUGACCACUGAGCCUCAUCCCCAGCUCUUUUUAAUAUUUUAUUUAGAGACAGAGUCUCACUGAGUUGCUUAAGGCCUGUUAAGUUGCUGAGGCUGGCUCUGAACUCGCUAUCCUCCUCCUCAGCCUCGUGAGCUGCUGGGAUUACAGGCCUGCGCCACAGCGCCUGGCCAUCUUUGUUUUUAAAUGAAAAGUUCAGUGGUGUUGAGUACUUUCAAACUGUUGUCCUACCAUCAUCACCAUUCACUCAAAGACCUGUUUUCUUGUGAAACUGAAAUCCUCUUCCUAUUAGAUAAUCCCUGCCUGUCGCCCCUCUUCCCAUGUGACUCUUCUAUGUACCCCACAUACAUGGAGUCUUGAGGUCUUGGUCUGCUUGCGAGCAGCUUAUCUCACUCAGCGUGGUGUCCUCGGGCUCACUCCUGCUGUGCCACUGUAAAGUUUCUGCCCUUCUAAAGGCUGAGUGGGGUUCCACAGUGGGUACAGGUCUCUCUCUUCAUUCAUUCACCCCUCCACGGACACUUGGGCUGCUUCCACUUUGGGCUAUUGUGACUAAUGCUGCUGGGAACUCAGAUACACACAUCUCUCUUCAAAACUCUGUUUGUAAUUCUUUUGAGAAACAGACCCAGAAGUGGAAUGGCUGGAUUACAUGGUAAUUCUACCUUUAAAUUUUCGAGGAGCUGCCACUCUGUUUUCCACAGGGGCUGGAUCAUUUUACAUUUCCAACAAAGUGCCCCAGGGCUCCAACUUUUCUGUAUUCUCAGCCACACGUUAUUUAUUUAUUUAGGUUUUUGUAAUGGUUAUCCUAAUAAGUGUGAGUUGAGAGCUCAUUGUGCUUUUGAUUUGCAUUUCUUUAAUAAACUGGCCUCUUUUUCUGAGUUAAGAAAUAGCUUUACAUGGCAAAGUGCCAUAUCUUGUAACUACAUCUAAAUGAAACUGUUCACAUGUGUGUACCUGUGAUUCUACGGCCAGAUCAGGCUAAGAAGUAUUCCCAGUACCCCAAGAGCUUUCUCAUGCCCCUUCCAAGUCAGUGACACCCCCCCCCCCCCAGGUAACCACUCCUCAGGACAUGGAUAGUUUUAAUCUCCUCUCUGGCUUUUGCUCCAUCAGACCAGUCCUCAACAAUGCUCUUGUCGUAUUGUCCUUUGACGGUCAUGGCAAUGUUGACAUUCUGCAUAACCUUCUCCUCCUUAUCUUGCUGAGGGUGAUUUCAACACAGCAUUCAAAAUUCUCCAAGUAUUGAUAUCCUUUGCAUCACUUCCCCUCUCUUCACGAGAAUUCUUAUCAAAUUCAGUUGUGACUUACACUUCUGUCACCAAGAUUUGUUUGAUUCUACACAGACUUAGAAGCUGAUGUCUUCUCUCAGAGGUGGGAUCACAUUUAUCAAAAUGUGAUCCUGGGACAAAAAUGGAAAGUCAGAAUGUCAAUGUGUUCGAUGAUAACAAAAUAUAUAUAUGAUUGUUAAGUAAACUGGAAUAGCCUCAUCUGCAUGAGCUGCACAUUCUUUCCUGAAAGCAGAUCUAAACGAAAAGUCGAUUUUACAUUGAAGGUGGCUUGGUGAGCACUUGCUCUCCCAGCGCUGUCCGCUAAGUCUAGUAGUUGUCAAGGAUUGUGCUGGGUGCUCAGUGGAGAAGGGUGAAGAGGAAAGAUGGGACUCUAUGCCCAUAGAUUCUAAAGUGCAGAGGGGAAGCCAGGCCCUGAACAGAUGAUCAGACUUCCAGCUUAGAAAAAAACAUCUAAAAUGCACAUCUUAGCCUCUGCUUUCUUUCUGCACUUACUAAAAUAACAUACAGAACAUACAGCUACUCUUUUUUUGAGGGGGUACCAGGGACUGAACCCAGGGGCACUCUACCACUCUACACACCCCCAGCCCUAUUUUGUAUUUUAUUUAGAGACAGGGUCUCAGUGAGUUGCUUAUCACCUCGCCACGGCUGAGGCUGGCUUUGAAAUUGCGGUCCUCCUGUUUCGGACUCCUGAGCCGCUGGGAUUACAGGUGUGUAACACCGCGCCUGGCUCAGGGAUUCCUUAAAAUGGCAAUUCACCAAGACAGGGGUCAGCAAACUACGGUCCAUAGACUCGAUUAAGUCUCUUGCCUAUUUACAUGCAGUCUAUAAGCUAAGGACAGUCUUAUACUCUUAAAUGGUUGUAAAAAAAUUCAAAAGGAGAAUAUUUUAUGAUGUGAAAAUUUCUAUGUACAUAAAUAAACUUUUAUUGGAACAUGGCCACAUAUUCCAACUUGUGUUCCUGAAUUCCAUGCUACAGUGACAGAGUUGAGUAGAUGUGGUGCAGACCAUCUAGCAUGAAAAGCCCCCCAAAAUUGACUCUGUCCCUUCACGGAAAAUAAUUUGCCAAUCCCUGCUCUAGAAAGUCCAAUAGGACUUUCUGCAAUGAUGAAAAUACAGCAGCCAGCCUCAGCUGACGGGUGGCCAUUGAGCACUGGAAAUGUGACUAGUGCAACUGAGGAGCCCAAAGCUUAUUCUAUUUAAAUUUCAGCAGCUACAUGUAGGUGGAGGCUGCCAUAUUGAUAGCCUACAGAGCAACUGACAGAAGGGGUGUAAAGGCAGCACAUGCUGCAAAAGGAGGGGGGAAGGCUCACAGGUGGAGGCUGAGAGGUCCCCGCAGCCUCAUCCUCUCAGGCUCUUUUCCAGCCUACAUUCCAAACGCUGGCCCUGAAAGGUCCCUGAAUGUUAGAGUCUGUAAACAAGUCUGGAUGGCGCCUGGCAAAAUGCCAGAGGGAGUGGUUUGUGAAGUAAUGCCAGCGAGCCAUUAAGUGUGGAGAUUCCUUAUUGGUUGACUGAUGUAUCUAGUUUAUGCUAAUUAGAUAAUCUGUGUGGAAUGUAUAAAUACUGCUCCUGUCCUGCAAUAAACGGCUCCUACUCCUGCUGUAUCAACGUACACAAGUCGUUCGUCACCCCCCGGUUAUUUUGCUGCAGCCGGACUGCGGCACCUGAACAGAUACUGAGACUUCUGGGGAGGGAGAGAGCAACUGCAUAGGGUUAUACUUUCCCAGGGAGGAUUAUGCUCUCCUAAAAAGGGUACAGAGAGAGCUGGGCUUGUGGCUCAGUGAUAGAACAUUUGCCUAGCACAUGUGAGGCCCUGGAUUUGAUCCUCAGCACCACAUAAAAAUAAUAAAAUAAUAAAGGAAUUGUGUCCCUCUUCAACUAAAAAAAAAUGUCCAGAGAGUCUUCUGGAGAAUUUAACCAGAUCAGAAGGAAGACUUAAAGAUCCUGGUACUGGGAGUUCCUAAUGCAUAGGCACCCAAAGUUCAUGAUCAAUAAGCCCUCCGCAUAUGCUCCAAGAGCAUUGGUCUACAUGCCGUCCUUCAGUAUGAACAGGUAAACAAGAUUCAUCAUACACCUGGGGAAAUCCUGGAAUAAGUGAGGAAAAAAACCAAACAGAUAAAUAGACUUAGGCAAAGAUCCAUGGAAACACAUAUUAAAUUAAGAGGUUCAUGAAGCUGGAUGGGAAAUACAGUCUUUAUUUUCAGAAAGUUCAUCUGAAACGUAGCAUUUCCUUUGAUCAUGAGUAAUAGAAGUAAUUAAGUACCUGCAACUUCAUCACCAAUAGAAAUCACGUGUUUUUCUAUCACAUUGCUUUUGUGGAAUUUAUUUCAAGAUAUGACAUUUAUGCUCUUUAUGACUCUGAAAUUAUGAUUCUUAACAAACAUGCUGCUAAAUCUUAUAAUAUAGAAGCAUUGGGGCUGGAAUAUGUUACUCUAUGACAGAUUUCUUAAAUAUUUUGAUAACUGCAUUUCAGUAUACACAGAUUCCUCAACUUACAAUGGGGUUCUAUCAAAGUAGACCAAUUGUAAGUUGAAAUUAUCGUAAGUCAAAAAUUCAUAGUACAGUGCUUACCUAGCAUAUGUGAGGUACUGGGUUCAACUCUCAGCACCACAUAAAAAUGAAUAAAUAAAAUAAAAGGUAUUGUGUCCAUCUACAACUAAAUUUUUUUUAAAAAAUGCAUUUAAUGCACCUAACCUAUUGAACAUCAUAGCUUAGCGACGCAGUACACUGCAGAAGGACAGAUGCUUUCCUUUCUGAUCGGCUGGCUGCCUAAGAGCUGCAGUUUGUUGCUCUCGCCUAGCAUAGAGCGAGAAUAUCAUGCCACAUAACACUAACCUGGGAAAAGAUUAUAAUUCCAAUUAUGGCUUUUAUUGAAUGCUUAUUGUUUUCAUACCAUCAUAAAGUUAAAAAAUUUACAUAAUUUGGGGAAUAUCUAUAAAUUUUUAUAACCCUAUAUAUGGAGCUUUAUUCAUUUAAAAAUAUCAUGGUGGUGCAUACCUAUGAUACCAGUGACUUGGGAGGCUGAGGCAGGAGAGAUCACAAGUUCAAGGCCAGCCUCAGCAAUUUAGCGAGGCCCUAAGUAACACAGUGAGAUCCUGUCUCAAAAUAAAAAAUCAAAAGGGCUGGGGACUUAGCUCAGUGGUAAAGUACUUUUGGGUUCAAUCCCAAGAAUCAUUCAAUCAAUCAUCAAUAAACAAUAUUCUGAGAGCUGAGGGUGUGGCUCAAUGGUAGAGGGCUUGCUUAGCAUGUGCAAGGCCCUGGGUUCAAUCCCCAGCACCACACACAAAAGAAGUGCUGAAAAAGGAGUUCUUAGGCUCUACAAGAUUGCAAAGGAGUCCAUGGCUCAAGACAAGUUAAAAACAUCUGUAAUAAUACUCUUUUUUGGAGUUAGAAGUGGGUAGGGAAUGCAGACAAUAAUAAGCACUAUGUGCCAGAUUUCAAACCUCAUGAUUCUAAGAGGUAGCUAUUAUUUUGAUAGCUUUAAUUAGAUUUUUGAAAUGCUUGUUUUGUCCUGUCAGUAGGAUAUUUGGAAAGGGAAAAGAUGAAUAGAUGCACUUGAUAAGCCCUCUUGACCCCAAAGUCCAGCUUUCUUUUGCAGAAAUGGUACAUGGACAUUAGAAACCAGUUAGAAAGAUGCAAAAGGGACAAUAAAAAUGGCCCUCAAACUUGUUACCUCUCUGGUCAACAUCAUUCUGGCCGCUCUCUACGCACACCUCCAGAAAUCGACACACAUAAACUCAGACAUAGAUAAAUCGAUGUAUAAAGAUAUGUAGAUAAUUUUAAACAAAACAGGAUCAAAUCACACAUUUGUUAAGAUUUUUAAGACUUUGUCAUUAAACAAUUCAUUGUGUUUAUCUUCCAUAUCAAAAAUGGGAAUCAAGGGCAGUUAUCAUUCUCACGUACAAGUGAGGAAACCGAGAAUCAAAUAAUUAAAACCUGUUUAUGAUCAUACAUGGUGAGAGGAGAAGAAACCUCUUGGUCAUCCCAGAGCUACUUACUCUUCCAGUUCAUGGUCUCUGUGAGGGGCAAACCCGGGAGUUUAGUUGUACCAGAUAUUUACCUGCAAGCUUGUAGCCUUGAAGGGUUGAAGACUUCAGGGGAUUUUAGCUCAAGUGGGGGGAAGACUCUAUGCCAGGUGCCAACAGAGAUUUACAGCUAAAAAUCUUCCACUGAACUGUUAAACUCAGGGGCAGGAAUCUGGUGCCUCCUGGAUUCCUUGCUUUAUUUCUGUUUUGAUUCCUUUGUAAAGCAAAGGGGAGCCAUAAACUCAUUCCUCUGGUUAACCUCAAAUAAAACAACUCCACACCUGUAAUCUCAGCCACUUGGGAGGCUGAGGCAGGAGGAUCACAAGUUCAAAGCCAGCCUCAGCAAUUUAGUGAGUCCCUAAGCUACUUAGUGAGACCCUGUCUUAAAAUAAAAAAUAAAAAACUAAUUUUAAAAGUGGUGGUGGUGGGGGGCGGGCUGGGGAAAUGGCUCAGUGGUUAAGCACCCCUGGGUUUAAUCUUUGGUACUUAAAACAAAAACACCACUAGGUGUCUCCAUGGAACCCAUCACAGAGAUGCAGAGCCAUUCACUCGAGGUUGACCUUCCUCAUCCAGCUCAGCUCCCAGGAGCUGGAGGAAGUUGAGAGAGAGAAUUCAAACGCAAGUCCAGGGAAGGUGGACUCAGUGUGGUCAGACCCCGGGUUUGGUCAAUCUGCAGUUUCUCAAAAUCAGAUUGGCUACAGCAGAAUCACUUGAGGCUCUUGUUGAAAGGAGUGAUGCCAAGGUUUCACUCCAGAGCAGCAGGUGUCAACCUUUGCUUCACGUGAGAGUCCAGGGAAACUCGGCGCGGGGCUGGGGGUGUAGCUGAGCAGCAGAGCGCUGGCCUAGCAUGUGUGAGGCACUAGGUUGGAUCCUCAGAACCACAUAAAAAUAAGUAAAUAAAUAAAAUAAAGGUAUUAUGUUCAUCUACAACUAAGAACUAUUUUUUUUUUUUUAAAGUUCAAUGACUCCAGGAACAAAAUGACAAGUAGGCUUUUCAGGUUCCUCCACAAGAAACAUUAGAAACUGUCAGAACAAACUGUGUCAGAACUCUGGAAAACCAUCAAAGGUUUUAGCAACCAAGUGGAUUCUGAAUCAAGAAAAAGCAAGGCUGGGGUUAUAUCCAGUUGGUAGAGUGCCUUCCUAGCAUGCACAAGAGGCCCUGGGUUCAAUCCCCAGCACCAAAAAAAUAAAAUAAAAUAAAAAAGCAACUUAAAAGCAGCUCUGUGGGAAAUGAAGGCUAAGGUAGAGCUGUAAAUCAGCCCGGCCUCGUGUUGAAAGAGGACCUCAGCACAGAGCCAGUCUGCAAAGACUGAGGGAGGUGUGUUUGAUUUUGUCAUCUUUCAUUUGUUUUCAAGGAAAUCCCUAUCAAAAUACUAAUCAAACAUAAACUAAAGGAACAGAGAUUCAGUGACCACAUUUGACAAGGAAUACAGUCUUUUCCUAAAAUAGUUUAUAAGAGUCAUUAAGAAACAGAGGACUCGCUGGGCAUGGUGGUGCAUACCUGUAAUCCCAGUGGCUUGGAAGACCGAGGCGGUGGAUCACAGGUUUGAAGACAGUCUCAGCAACUUAGUGAAGCUAUAAGCAAUGUAGUGAGAUCCUGCCUCAAAAUACAAAAUUUAAAAAGGGCUGGGGAUAUAGCUUAGUGGUUAAGUGCUCUUGGGUCAAUCCCUGGUACCAAAAACUAAAACUAAAACAGAUCAUUACAACCUUCAAUAAUCAAAUUCAACAAACCCUGGAGAAGGGAGAGACUCUGAUCUUCAAAAUUAUCACAUUAUAAUAUACAAAUGUUCAAUUUUCAGGUCUGGGAGUAUAAGAUUACCAACUAUACAAACAAACAAACCAACCAACCACACACACACACACACACACACACACAAAGAGAAAAGUGUGUUCCAUGCAUGCCUGUAAUCCCAGUGAUAGACCCAACCUGAUCUUUUCUUAAAAUUGGGCAUCUCCCCACAAAACCAUGAAAAGAUAAUUUUGGCUUUACUAUAAAUUACUGCAAAUUCUGAACCUGCUUGGAAUGCCUGCCCGUGCCUUGAACUCACCCAUGCCUGGCUCUCUGACCAGGUAGCAGCCCUCUCUGAAAGUUAGUGACACCUCAUAAAUAUUGGCCUUCCCUGGCCAGACAACGACCCUUUCUGAGGCUCUAAUGGUCCUCAUAAAUUCUGAUGUUGGGGCCAGCAAAAAAUGUAAACUACCAUUAGUAUGAUGCUUGUCAGAGUUCUGUUAUCUGUAACCCCCCUUUGUGUAACUUUCUGGGCUAUAAAGCUGGGCUUCAGGAAAGCUGGGGUGCUGUCUUGUUCCCGCCGUUUUGGGAGGGAGAGGCAGCCCGGCCGGUUGAAAUAAUAAGCUUGCUUUAAUUUGACUUUAAUUGGAGUCAGUGGUCUUUUCUUGUGUCCUGGUCUAACACCAGCGGCUUGGGAGGCCGAGGCAAGAGGAUCGAGAGUUCAAAGCUAGCCUCAGCACCUUAGCGAGACCCUUUCUCAAAAUAAAAAAUAAAAUGGGCUGGGGAUGUGGCUCAGUGGUUAAGCACCCCUGGGAUCAAUCCCUAGUACCAAAAAAAGAAAAGUGUGUUUCUGAAGCUGAGAGGUAUAAUAACUGAAAUGAAAAUCUAACGUCCAGCCUUGUCCUAGUCUAAUCACAUUAAAAUGUCUGGAGUGGGGGCUCCAGCAUUAGUUUCUCAAAACUCUGUGAACAUGGAGAACCUCUGUCCCAGAAGUUUUGAUUUAGCCUCCAGAAGCUGUGAGUCUACAGAAGAGGCACAUUAUCAUCACGUGAAGAACUCUAGAAAUACUGACUUCUGGAUUCCUCCCCAAAUCAUUUGAAAAGGAAGCUUUGGGGGUAAACACUGGGAAUUGGCCUUUUGAACACAUUUCCUUAAUAAUUCUGAUGACCACACAAUUCCAUGAAUUCCAUCUUCCAUAUCGGAAAGACUUUUCUUCAUCAGGAUACCAACAGCCCCACUAUCUAGUGCACAUGUGUUAAUAGCAUUUGUUAAUAGUCCCUUGAUGAGGCUGAGUUCGCUGAAUGAUUCACUGACUCAUUUCAGACUAACCUCGUGUCUUGAGGGCCCUGGGAAUGCAGCAGUGCACUGAGGAGACGUAUCCCUGCCCUCAUGAAGCAUUCUUUCCAGCACAGGAGCCAAAUAGAUCACAUGAUUAUGACUGUUGACGAGGAAAUUAAAGUGAGACAAGGGGUUAGAGAGGGAGGGGAGUGGGCAGGGUGUCACCAGUAGCUGACAUUGAAGAAGGGACAGUGAAGGGGGAGCCUACUGUUGAGGGACAUCUAGGAAGAGAGCCUGCUGAUUGAAUAAAAACACCUGAAAUCUCGGCUUAAAAGGAAGACAACUUGCACCUUCCAGUGUCUCCCUUUUGUUUUGGAUCAUCUCUCAUCUGGGGCCAAAUGGCCUCGCUCUGGGGCCUUCGACCAGUAUGGGUGUGAAUUUUGAGCUGGCCACACCAUCCCAAAGAGUCACAAUGUCUUCAACUGUAAAAUUCCUUAAUAGUCACCAGGAUUCCUCUCUGACGGUAGGAUUGCCAUCGCGGGUACCUGGCAUAGGGAGGUAGAGUGCAAGGGUUAAGUCAUGAGUGCUGCAGCCAAUGGCUUCCAUCCAGAGCCUGGCUCUGCCAUUUUCUUACCAUAAAACUCCAAGCAAAUCAUUUCGCCUUUCUGAGUCUUUUUGGCUUACGUGCUAGAAACAAAAAUGUCAUGUCCUACUUCUGAACCUGGGACCAUGUUAGGUUACUUGAUCAGAGGGAAUCAAGGUUGCAGAUGAGAUUAAGACUGCUAGUCAGCUGACUUCUUCUUUUUUAGUCGUAGACAGACACAAUGCCUUUUAAAAGAAUUUUUAGAUGUUGAUGGACCUUUAUUUUAUUCAUUUAUUUAUGUGUGGUGCUGAGAAUCGAGCCCAGGGCCUUAUACAUGCCAGGCAAGUGCUCUGCCACUGAGCCCCAGCCCAGCCCAACACAAUGCCUUUUUUAUUUUAUUUUAUUUAUUUUUAUAUAGUGCUAAGGAUCCACCCAGUGCCUCACACUUGCUAGCCAAGCACUGUACCACUGAGCUACAACUCCAGCCCCUCGUCAGCUGACUUUAAGACCAGGAGAUCAUCCUGUGCUAUCCAGCUGGGGUCCUUACCCGUGGAGCAGGGGGCAGAAGAAUGGUCACAGUGACGUGAUGUCAGGAUGGGGCCCAGGGUUGCUGGUUUGUACACGAAGGAGACUCUAGUCAAGGAAUGCCAGUGGUCCCUGGGGAAAAAUUCAGGCUACUCUGCUGGUACUGAACUUUGGCCCACAGAGGCCUGUGUAGGACUUGCAACCUACAGAACUGGAGAUGGUGAGUUUGUAUUGCUGAAGCCACCCACCAUGCUAGUGGCAAUUAGCAGCAAUAAGAAACGAAUAAAAUCUAUCAUUUGAAAAUGGACAACAUCAUAGUAUCCGCCUCACUGGCUGUUCUGGAGGGUUCUCUGAGCCCCCCUCAGUGCUAGGUCCCCAGUAAGUGCUCUGGCAGAUAAAACAAAGAUGUCCAUACCGUAGUCUCCAGGACCUGGGAGUGUUACCCUACUUGCCAAAAGGGACUUCCUAGAUGUGAAUAAAGAUUUUGAGUCAGAUUAUCCUGGUGGGCUCAAUGUGGUCAGAGAUCCUUACAAGCAAAGGGAGGGAGGCAGGAAGGCCAGAAUCCUGGAAGGAGACGUGAGGACAGAAGCCAGAUGAAGGUAGGGAGAAUAAGGGAAGGGAGAGAGAGGGGAGGGAGGCCCGGAGUCGGGGAGAGAGAGUGCUAAUGAUUUUUUUUUUCUUUUUCUUUUCCAGUGCUGGGGAUAGAACCUAGGGCCUUGCACAUGCUGGACCAAUGCUCUUCCACCGAUCUGCACUCCCAGCUGGACACACAGGGAGAGAUUUGAAGAUGCCAUGCUGUGGGUUUUGAAGAUAGAGAAAGGGAUCGGGAUCCAAGGAAUGUGCAAGAUCUCUGGAAGCUGGAAAAGUAAGAAACACCUUUGUAGAAGAUCGUAGAGGAUCGCGGACCUGCUGACACCUAGUUCUGGGACUCCUGGCUUCCAGCACCGUAAAAGAACACAUUUGUGCAGUCUCAGGGAGGAGGCAAUCAGUUCCAGCAGCCACGGGAAACAACACAGUGCUCAAUAAACGCUGAGUAUUGCCAUUAGGUGGACCUCCAGCCUUAGGUCAGGUACAGGGUGCUCAGAAGUACUAAUCACAAUAGCAGUGAUGGUGCCUGGAAUCCACCAGGGGCACACCAAGAUGCCGCCUCCAGUUUUUUCUGCUUAAUUUUUGGCCUCCAAAGCAUCUAAAAGCAUUUUGCUCGCAAUUUUUUGUUUGUUUUUAAAAAUUAAAUUCAAAACCAGGAACUUCCUCCUACCAGGCAGGUCUCUGCCAUGUGCUAGCGAAAGCUAAUAGCUUUGUCUUAGAAGAGGCAGUGGGGAUAGGCAAUACACCCAGGGUAGAAAAGGGUGCCCAGCCCCGGUCCUGGCACUGCUUGGCCGGUGACUUGGGUCAUCUUGCUUCUCUUCUCUGAGCUUCAUUUUCACCCAUUAGAAAACAAAGGGAUUAAAGCGUCCACAAUUCCCAUUGGUUAGGCACCUUUGAUGUAUGUCACAGUUUGGAUCUGAAAUGUCCCCUGAAGGUUCAAGUGUUAAAAAUGGGGUCCCCAAUGCAGCAGUGUUCAGAGUGGGGCUUUGGGAAGUGACUGGAUCAUGAGAACUCUGGUCUCAUCAGUGGAUUAAUCCUUCCAUUGGCUCAUGAUAGAAUGGGCUUUGGGGAUGGGGUGGGAACUGCAGAAGGUGGGGCCUAGUUGGAAGAAGUAGGUGGGGGGUGGUGUGUGCCUCAGAAGGGUGUGUCUUGGCCUUGGCCGCUUCUUCUCUUUCUGCUCCACCUUUAAGGAAGUUGGCUUUGUUCCACCAUGUGCUCCCCACCAGGAUGUUCAGCCUCGCCUCAGGCCCAAGGGGAUGGGGCCUAGCAAUGGACUGAACCCUCUAAACUGUGAACCAAGACCAAUCUUUCAUCUCUUGUUUUCCUCAGGCAUUUUGUCACAGUAAUGGAAAGCUGACACAAUGUCCAAGGUGUGUGUAUACUCUUAUUUGAGCCCUGUGAAGUCAAUGCAAGGAAUCAUUUCCGUUUUAUAACCCAGAACACUGAGAGGCCCACAGAGGUUAAGUGACUUACUCAAGUCACAGAGUUGGCAGAGCUGGGAUUUAAGCCAGGACCACUUGACUCCUUUAUGACGUGCCCCUCCACCUUUAACAUGUCAUUGCCCUCUCUGAGGACAAUGACAUGUUUAAAGGACAUAUUUACAUAUCUGCUCUGGUGUUAUUGUUUGGACAUGAGGUCUCCCCCCAUGCCCAAAAGUUCCUGUGUUAAUUCAGAAAUAUUCAGAGGUAAAAUCCUCAGAUUAUGCGAGCCCGUCAGUCCGUCCUAUUUUGAAGGGACUCACUAACUGGGUGUAACUACCUGUAGGCUGGGGUGUGUGGCUGGGGAGGUGGGUCACUGGGAGGUGCCCUGGGAGGGUUCAGCUCCCUGCCGUCCUGCCUUUCUCCUCCUUCUCUCUGCUUCCUGGCAACCAUAAACAGAGCAGCCUUCCUCCUCCAGGCCCCUCCGCCAUGAUGUUCUGCCUCUCCUGGGCCCAGAGCUAUGGAGUCGGCCCACAGGGUCUAAUCUCUUAAACUGUGAGCCAAAAUAAACUUUUCCUCCUCUAAAUUGUUCCCACCAUGUAUUUUGGUCACAGAUGAAAAGCUGGCGAACCCAUCUGGUGUCUCUGGGAGUCACAGAGAGGACAGGGAGGAGCUAUGAGCAGCCCCACAGUGGGUCACCUUCUAACUUACACACGCGCAUCCUGGAAGUGGUCGCUCCCUCAGAGCCUCUGACCCAGCUCCUCAGAGGCUUUCCUCAGGAAGACCCAUCCCACCUCACCUGUUGUGACAGACACCACAGUUGCAAAACCAGUGUAUAUUCUCCCCUUCUGACUUAGUAACAGAAUCCCCGUUUUCUUUGAAUGACAAUGGGCCCAGUUAAAAAUACCUCCUUGCAUUCCCUCCCCUGGAGCUAAUGUGAUCAAUCCUCAGACUCAGUUUUUUAUUUAUUUUUAGUUGGACCCGAUACCUUCAUUUUAUUUAUUUUUAUGUGGUGCUGAGGAUCGAACCCAGUGCCUUGCAUGUGCUAGGCGAGCGCUCUACCCCUGAGCCACAACCCCAGCCCUCUGGUCCAGUUUUGAUCAAUGAGAUAUAAAUAGAAAUUUGGAUGGGGCUCCCUGGGAAUUUCUUGUCUUCCUCAUACAAAAAGGCUGAGGAACUCAACAGGCGCAUGCCUUUUUCUCUUUGCCUUUGCCAUUAUUCCUGCCUGGAAUGUAGGUGAGAUUACUGGAAGUAGGGCAAUCAUCUUAUGACUAUGAGGAAAGAACCCCUUGCUAAAGAUAGCCGAGGAGGAAGGCAGAAGGAGCUUCUGUCCUUAAGGAUUUCUUUGAGACUCUUUACUAAGCUGGACUGCCUACCUCUGGACAUCUUCCUGAGGAGAUAAAAAUGAAAGCUUUAUUAAGUCAGAUUUCUGUUUCAUACAACUCAGUGUAAUCCUGACUGAUAAGUUCUCCAAGAAAGGUCUAUUUCUGGCCCCAAGCCCUGAUGUGCUGCAUUAAUAAGCACGUGUGAUGACCUGAAAAUAGACCUCGGAGGAAGAGGCAUGGCUGUGGCUAUGACUGUGAGCUUGCUGAGCUAUCCCCUGUCCUGUCCGUUCUCUAGAUAAAGUGAGGUUCAUUCCCACUGUCUUCAGUCAGAGCACAGCGGCCUAAUGCACGUGUUUCAGGAAAGCUCAAAUAUAGCUCCAAGUCUGUUGCUUUUGCUGAGUGAGCAGCACCUGCGUGUCUUGCAGUCCCGGUGCAGGAGUUGGGGGUGUCUCUAGGAAGGUGGGGUCUCAGAAGGGUCUAGAAACCAGGGGUGAGGGCAAAGCCUGGUUCAAGCAGACAAGCUCUCCUUCUUUUGGUUUCCUGUGACAUGGGUUAGCAUAUGACAAAACUUGCUUGAGGUGCAAACUGGGACUCAGAGGGUGAAGUGACAGUGUCAACCCAGUUGCUUGGUUGCGUGAAUAGAAGUGGGCUCCGUAGAACUGGAGGGGAAAAUUGUUUGCCAGACGAAUACAGGAUGGGUCCCAGAAUCAGUGGCAGGUUUGGACACACUGACCUGGGGCUUUAGCUGCAGGAAGUCUAGGUAGCAGAGACCAGCGUCCGAACGACAGCGUGGUCAUGAGCUCGGUCCUCAGCUGAAGGAAGGCAGGUGCUGGGAGGAGCCCUUCCACACGGUCUGGGGAAGAGGUUUGCUGGAAGCAACCAAGGAACUUAGCACCAAAAAAAAAAAAAAAAAAAGGUAGUAAAAGCCAAAAAAGAGAAAGAAACCAUAUUAGUAUAGAAUUAGCCCAGGGCUUGUGUUUUGGGAUCAGCUGACUUCAGUUACAGUCUUAGCUCUGCCCCCUCCUGUCUGUCUUUGAUGAAGUCAAUGAACUUCAUUAGGCCUCAGUUUCCUCAACUGAUAAGAAAGAGCCAGGAUGGGGCUGGGCUGUGGCUCCGUGGCAGAGCACAUGCCUAGUAUGUGUGAGGCCCUGGGUUCGAUGCUCAGCCCUGCAUAGAAAUAAAUAAAAUAAAGAUCCAUUGACAACUAAAAAAUAUUUUUAAAAAAGAUUGAGCCAUGAACAUAAGCUCCAGGAGGGCAGGGAUUUUGUCUUUCCCCACCAUGUGCUUGUCCCAGCGCCUAGAGCCUAGAUUAGUGCCUGGAAAUCAUGGAUGCUCAGUAUCUACUCAGAGAAUGAAUGAAUGCGCCUCUUGUUGGUCCCAGCAACCUCUUAGGUAGAGAGUUAUUGUGUUGCAAAUGCACUGUGUAAGGUACCUGGCCUGGCGGGGAGGGUUCCUGCCUCACCACCUACCCUGGGGACGGGGAGGAGAGACACCCCCCCACCCCAGACACUCGGGGAGAGAAGCAGCUGCCUGGGCGCUGGGCCUGACUCGCCCUGGAGGGGGAGGACCUGUUGACCCACGUGCACAAGCCACCAAGCCUCACGCUCAGGAGCAGAGCCCUGUAGCUGGCAGCAGCAACCCCACGUUGUGCGUUGUGCGUGGGACAGAGCCACUCCGGCAGCCUCUGGGACUUCCUGGCACAAGGAGUGGGUGUGUUAAACCCUGCUCCCACCUUUGACGUGUUAAGGAGUCGGAAGUCACCACACCCCUACGCUUCACAGAGGACCUUGACAUAUUGUGGUGA
Molecule: long non-coding RNA, 29397 nt
Filed under: Marmota monax (woodchuck)
Lineage: Eukaryota; Metazoa; Chordata; Mammalia; Rodentia; Sciuridae
Source: RNAcentral